RNAcentral lists this ribosomal RNA (394 nucleotides) under uncultured bacterium. Its description in RNAcentral is "bacterial SSU rRNA". It matches the Rfam family "Bacterial small subunit ribosomal RNA", at positions 28 to 403 of the family's 1533-position model. The record is from RNAcentral.
GAUGAACGCUGGCGGCGUGCCUAAUACAUGCAAGUCGAGCGGUAAGGUUUCCACUCUGUAUUUAACGAGUUUGAAUAUAGGGUGGAAAUACACGAGCGGCGGACGGCUGAGUAACACGUAGGAACGUACCCCAAACUGAGGGAUAAGCACCGGAAACGGUGUCUAAUACCGCAUGUGCUCUUCGGAGUAAAGCUACGGCGGUUUGGGAACGGCCUGCGCAUGAUUAGCUUGUUGGUGAGGUAAUAGCUCACCAAGGCGACGAUCAUUAGCUGGUCUGAGAGGAUGAUCAGCCAGACUGGGACUGAGAACGGCCCAGACUCCUACGGGAGGCAGCAGUAGGGAAUUUCCUACCAAUAGGGCGGAAAGACCUCGAUAGGAGGACAACGACCGCCGU